GUAAGUAUAGUUUAACUUAAAAUAUCAGAUUGUGAUUCUAAAGACAGAGGUUAAAAUCCUCUUACUCACC
This 70-nucleotide transfer RNA is filed under the name Yaoshania pachychilus. RNAcentral's name for it is "tRNA-His". It matches the Rfam family "tRNA". Rfam says of the family: Transfer RNA (tRNA) molecules are approximately 80 nucleotides in length. Lineage: Eukaryota; Metazoa; Chordata; Actinopteri; Cypriniformes; Gastromyzontidae. The record is from RNAcentral.